GAUCCCGCCGGAGGUUACUGCUAUCGAGGUUCGACUAAGCCAUGCGAGUCGAAUGUAGCAAUACAUGGCGUACUGCUCAGUAACACGUGGACAACCUACCCUCAGGUCGGGGAUAAACCCGGGAAACUGGGUAUAAUACCCGAUAGAUCUCGGCUGCUGAAUGCAUCGAGCUCUAAAGCUCCGGCGCCUGAGGAUGGGUCUGCGGCCUAUCAGGUAGUAGUGGGUGUAGCGUACCUACUAGCCUACGACGGGUACGGGUUGUGAGAGCAAGAGCCCGGAGAUGGAUUCUGAGACACGAAUCCAGGCCCUACGGGGUGCAGCAGGCGCGAAAACUUUACAAUGCCGGCAACGGCGAUAAGGGGACCUCGAGUGCCAGGUUACAAAUCUGGCUGUCGUGAUGCCUAAAAAGCAUUGCAUAGCAAGGGCCGGGCAAGACCGGUGCCAGCCGCCGCGGUAACACCGGCGGCUCGAGUGGUAACCGUUAUUAUUGGGUCUAAAGGGUCUGUAGCCGGCCGGAUAAGUCUCUUGGGAAAUCCAGCAGCUUAACUGUUGGGCUUUCAGGAGAUACUGUCUGGCUCGAGGCCGGGAGAGGUGAGAGGUACUUCAGGGGUAGGGGUGAAAUCUUGUAAUCCUUGAAGGACCACCAGUGGCGAAGGCGUCUCACCAGAACGGACCUGACGGCAAGGGACGAAAGCUAGGGGCACGAACCGGAUUAGAUACCCGGGUAGUCCUAGCCGUAAACGAUACUCGCUAGGUGUCGGCCACGGUGCGACCGUUGUCGGUGCCGUAGGGAAGCCGUGAAGCGAGCCACCUGGGAAGUACGGCCGCAAGGCUGAAACUUAAAGGAAUUGGCGGGGGAGCACCACAACGGGUGGAGCUUGCGGUUUAAUUGGAUUCAACGCCGGA
This 906-nucleotide ribosomal RNA is filed under the name uncultured archaeon. RNAcentral describes it as "bacterial SSU rRNA". It matches the Rfam family "Archaeal small subunit ribosomal RNA", at positions 10 to 922 of the family's 1478-position model. The record is from RNAcentral.